This 305-nucleotide ribosomal RNA is filed under the name uncultured bacterium. RNAcentral's name for it is "bacterial SSU rRNA". It matches the Rfam family "Bacterial small subunit ribosomal RNA", at positions 333 to 658 of the family's 1533-position model. The record is from RNAcentral.
UUAUUCCUACGGGACGCAGCAGGGAAUAUUGCUCAAUGGGGGAAACCCUGAAGCAGCAACGCCGCGUGGAGGAUGAAGGUUUUCGGAUUGUAAACUCCUUUUGUUAGAGAAGAUAAUGACGGUAUCUAACGAAUAAGCACCGGCUAACUCCGUGCCAGCAGCCGCGGUAAUACGGAGGGUGCAAGCGUUACUCGGAAUCACUGGGCGUAAAGAGCGCGUAGGCGGGAUAGCAAGUCAGAUGUGAAAUCCUAUGGCUUAACCAUAGAACUGCAUUUGAAACUGUUAUUCUAGAGUAUGGGAGAGGG